UCUUGAGAGCGGCGGACGGGUGAGUAAUGCCUAGGAAUCUGCCUGGUGGUGGGGGAUAACGUUCGGAAACGGACGCUAAUACCGCAUACGUCCUACGGGAGAAAGCGGGGGACCUUCGGGCCUCGCGCCAUUAGAUGAGCCUAGGUCGGAUUAGCUUGUUGGUGAGGUAAUGGCUCACCAAGGCGACGAUCCGUAACUGGUCUGAGAGGAUGAUCAGUCACACUGGAACUGAGACACGGUCCAGACUCCUACGGGAGGCAGCAGUGGGGAAUAUUGGACAAUGGGCGAAAGCCUGAUCCAGCCAUGCCGCGUGUGUGAAGAAGGUCUUCGGAUUGUAAAGCACUUUAAGUUGGGAGGAAGGGUAGUAACUUAAUACGUUGCUACUUUGACGUUACCGACAGAAUAAGCACCGGCUAACUUCGUGCCAGCAGCCGCGGUAAUACGAAGGGUGCAAGCGUUAAUCGGAAUUACUGGGCGUAAAGCGCGCGUAGGUGGUUCAGUAAGUUGGAAGUGAAAUCCCCGGGCUCAACCUGGGAACUGCUUUCAAAACUGCUGAGCUAGAGUACGGUAGAGGGUAGUGGAAUUUCCUGUGUAGCGGUGAAAUGCGUAGAUAUAGGAAGGAACACCAGUGGCGAAGGCGACUACCUGGACUGAUACUGACACUGAGGUGCGAAAGCGUGGGGAGCAAACAGGAUUAGAUACCCUGGUAGUCCACGCCGUAAACGAUGUCAACUAGCCGUUGGGUUCCUUGAGAACUUAGUGGCGCAGCUAACGCAUUAAGUUGACCGCCUGGGGAGUACGGCCGCAAGGUUAAAAC
Molecule: ribosomal RNA, 817 nt
Filed under: Pseudomonas fluorescens
Lineage: Bacteria; Pseudomonadati; Pseudomonadota; Gammaproteobacteria; Pseudomonadales; Pseudomonadaceae
Description: bacterial SSU rRNA
Rfam family: Bacterial small subunit ribosomal RNA
Source: RNAcentral